GACGAACGCUGGCGGCGUGCCUAAUACAUGCAAGUAGAACGCUGAAGGAGGAGCUUGCUUCUCUGGAUGAGUUGCGAACGGGUGAGUAACGCGUAGGUAACCUGCCUGGUAGCGGGGGAUAACUAUUGGAAACGAUAGCUAAUACCGCAUAAUAGUAGAUGUUGCAUGACAUUUGCUUAAAAGGUGCAAUUGCAUCACUACCAGAUGGACCUGCGUUGUAUUAGCUAGUUGGUGGGGUAACGGCUCACCAAGGCGACGAUACAUAGCCGACCUGAGAGGGUGAUCGGCCACACUGGGACUGAGACACGGCCCAGACUCCUACGGGAGGCAGCAGUCGGGAAUCUUCGGCAAUGGACGGAAGUCUGACCGAGCAACGCCGCGUGAGUGAAGAAGGUUUUCGGAUCGUAAAGCUCUGUUGUAAGAGAAGAACGAGUGUGAGAGUGGAAAGUUCACACUGUGACGGUAUCUGACCAGAAAGGGACGGCUAACUACGUG
RNAcentral lists this ribosomal RNA (495 nucleotides) under uncultured bacterium. RNAcentral's name for it is "partial 16S ribosomal RNA". It matches the Rfam family "Bacterial small subunit ribosomal RNA", at positions 28 to 507 of the family's 1533-position model. The record is from RNAcentral.